RNAcentral lists this transfer-messenger RNA (281 nucleotides) under Clostridia bacterium. RNAcentral describes it as "partial transfer-messenger RNA". It matches the Rfam family "transfer-messenger RNA", at positions 1 to 294 of the family's 374-position model. From Rfam's summary of the family: Bacterial tmRNA, also known as 10Sa RNA or SsrA, is named for its dual tRNA and mRNA-like properties. Its role is to liberate the mRNA from a stalled ribosome. To accomplish this part of the tmRNA is used as a reading frame that ends in a translation stop signal. The record is from RNAcentral. Lineage: Bacteria; Bacillati; Bacillota; Clostridia.
GGGGGCGUAUAUGGCUUUCGACGGGGGUUUGCCGGUGCUUGAUAAGCGGGUCGCAGUUCCGGAAUGCUGCGUUAAAAGUCCGGACCUAAAUUUAGUUGCAGAUAACACUCAACUAGCUUACGCCGCUUAAGGCGGCGUAAUGUCCUGCCGGCGGUUCCCUGAACGCCGGGAACAGGGCAUCAUCAACCAGGGGAACCGCCGCCGCAAAGCUUUGAGCGGCGGAAGGGAUCAUGAAGCUACCGACCGGCAUGACCUGCACAUGGGGCGCGUCCGGCGGGAAA